AAAAGUUUGAUCUCAAUGCUUCUAAUAUUUUCAUACUUUUAUCGCUGCAGAUUUGUGGAGUUACUUCGAUAGCCUAACCAUGGUUAUGUUCAUCGGGUUAUUGUGCACUCAUUCUGCAAUAUGGUUGAAAAGGGAUUGUUGAGUGUCAGCUUAAAAAUUCGAAUUGCAGCAGGGCCACUUUGAUGAGUGAAAGAGAAAACAAUUGAGCAGCAGAGUCUCUAGGUUUUUGAAUCCUUGCUCCCCUGCAUUUUCUUUGCUUUUCGGAGGAAUUCUUGAGCAAAUAUUUGAACCAUCUCAGAGCUACUUUUCUUAGUUUUUAGUUCUUUGCCAUGUCUUGCCAGAUCAUAGUUUAAGCUGAUUGCCUGUUUCUGAACAAUAUGUUCCCAUUACCACGUUCAGAAUUGCCUGUGACUGAACCAAA
Molecule: long non-coding RNA, 421 nt
Organism: Panicum virgatum (switchgrass)
Lineage: Eukaryota; Viridiplantae; Streptophyta; Magnoliopsida; Poales; Poaceae
Exons: 2
Source: RefSeq, a predicted model, not a curated record